Molecule: ribosomal RNA, 474 nt
Filed under: Humicolopsis sp. B HL4-121
Lineage: Eukaryota; Fungi; Ascomycota; Leotiomycetes; Helotiales
Description: eukaryotic LSU rRNA
Rfam family: 5.8S ribosomal RNA (bases 125-278)
Source: RNAcentral
UACCUUUGUUGCUUUGGCGGGCCCGUUUGGCCCCGCGCUGAACAACCGGCCCCGGCUGGUCAGUGCCCGCCAGAGAACCGAAAACUCUGAAUUAAAUGUCGUCUGAGUACUAUGUAAUAGUUAAAACUUUCAACAACGGAUCUCUUGGUUCUGGCAUCGAUGAAGAACGCAGCGAAAUGCGAUAAGUAAUGUGAAUUGCAGAAUUCAGUGAAUCAUCGAAUCUUUGAACGCACAUUGCGCCCUCUGGUAUUCCGGGGGGCAUGCCUGUUCGAGCGUCAUUACAACCCUCAAGCUCUGCUUGGUAUUGGGCUACACCCGACUGGGUGGGCCUUAAAAUCAGUGGCGGUGCCAUCUGGCUCUAAGCGUAGUAAUUCUUCUCGCUCUGGAGAUCUAGGUGUUUGCUUGCCAGCAACCCCCAAUUUAUCAAAGGUUGACCUCGGAUCAGGUAGGGAUACCCGCUGAACUUAAGCAUAU